AGUCCAUGAUGAGAGACCUUCCUCAAUAACUCCUUGUAACGCUCCCAUGAUUCAUACAGUGAUUCCUCGUCCUGCUGAAAGAAGGUGGUGAUAUCAUUUCUCAUUUU
This is a non-coding RNA of Nelumbo nucifera (sacred lotus), 107 nucleotides long. NCBI's taxonomy places the organism in Eukaryota, Viridiplantae, Streptophyta, Magnoliopsida, Proteales, Nelumbonaceae. The record is from Rfam.